Molecule: ribosomal RNA, 253 nt
Filed under: uncultured bacterium
Lineage: Bacteria
Description: partial 16S ribosomal RNA
Rfam family: Bacterial small subunit ribosomal RNA
Source: RNAcentral
UACGUAGGGUGCGAGCGUUGUCCGGAUUUAUUGGGCGUAAAGAGCUCGUAGGCGGUUUGUUGCGUCGGCCGUGAAAUCUCCACGCUUAACGUGGAGCGUGCGGUCGAUACGGGCAGACUUGAGUUCGGUAGGGGAGACUGGAAUUCCUGGUGUAGCGGUGAAAUGCGCAGAUAUCAGGAGGAACACCGGUGGCGAAGGCGGUUCUCUGGGCCGAUACUGACGCUGAGGAGCGAAAGCGUGGGGAGCGAACAGG